This 250-nucleotide ribosomal RNA is filed under the name uncultured bacterium. Its description in RNAcentral is "partial 16S ribosomal RNA". It matches the Rfam family "Bacterial small subunit ribosomal RNA", at positions 524 to 776 of the family's 1533-position model. The record is from RNAcentral.
UACGGGGGGAGCAAGCGUUGUCCGGAAUACUGGCGGUAAGCGUGCGCAGGCGGUUGUGCAAGACAGAUGUGAAAUCCCCGGGCUCAACCUGGGAAUUGCAUUUGUGACUGCACGGCUAGAGUGUGUCAGAGGGGGGUAGAAUUCCACGUGUAGCAGUGAAAUGCGUAGAGAUGUGGAGGAAUACCGAUGGCGAAGGCAGCCCCCUGGGAUAACACUGACGCUCAUGCACGAAAGCGUGGGAGCAAACAGG